UGGAUUUGAGUUGAGCAGCCNUGUGGAAACCUCCACUGAAUUAAAUGGGGAUCUGGGCUCUCAGGGCAAAUUAGAGGGAGACUGGAGUGAGUCAUAGGUGCAAUUUUUGGCUAAACUUUGGAGCUCAGAGGGCAACCCUGAGGCAUGUUGGGCAUUUUCACAACCCAGGGCCUUUUGUGUUAUGACAAGAAGAGAUCUGCUCAUGGUAUCUAUAUAACCUGCUAUGCUUGUGAUGGGACCGAACAGUGUUACAAGACAGCGAAGUAUAUUGGUGGUAAAUUGGUUUACUGGGACGCAGGUUGCACCGGUAACAGGGAUGACCUAAUUUGCAACUCUAGCAAAAAGGAAAUUGCCGGUGGACAAGAAGUCCAAACGUAUACCUCUUGCUGCAACAAAAAGAGCUGUAACAAUGGGCGACCCACUGGUUUCGGAAAGUAA
Molecule: long non-coding RNA, 438 nt
Filed under: Salvator merianae (Argentine black and white tegu)
Lineage: Eukaryota; Metazoa; Chordata; Lepidosauria; Squamata; Teiidae
Description: lncRNA (ENSSMRG00000013685.1)
Source: RNAcentral